UGGUCUCGGUGAUGGGAGGGGCAGUGGGGGACUGGUUGAUGUAUUAAGAAUUGAUUUUUUUCGAGGGAUGUUGGUUUGAUGUGGGAUAUUACAGAUAAAGAGCUAGUGGGUCAGAAUUAAUAAAAAGAUGGUAUAAAAGUACAUUAAAGUAAAGGUUUCGGGACUUACGUUUAUGUACGUAUAAACCAGGUUUGAUUACUUAUAAGAAGGCUGAAGUCCCAUUCUUUCACCGACAGUCUCUGAAUCACCUUCACUAUUUCCACGACUCUGUUAUGUGGAAGAUCUUCAAUGACGAUGUUCGGACGUCCGUACUCGGCCCAAUUUGGAAUCAGGUGGGUAUCGGGCUCUCGGAUUAAAAACUAGUGGGUAUGCCACCCCUUGUUGCUCGAAGGGGUGUUAAUUAAUGAUCACUUUUCAAGGUGUUUUGGUAUGUUUGUUUUGCUUUGUUGUUUGCUUAUUUGCCAAAACCUUGGUUCUCGGGAUCGGCUUACAAAGAAAAGGGAUAGCAAGAAAGCUAUGGAUGAGGAAACGUUGAGCUCAUGGCAAACAGAUGAAGGCAAAUGUAGAAAUUUGGCACCAACUGAGAAAAACCCAUGCCAAUAAAUCCUAGCAGUGUUAUGAUGAAGGCAUGAAGGGGUAGGCAAACCCCUUUUUCCAGUAAGGUAAGGGACAUGACAGUCCAACCGUCAGUAUGGUGGUAUAUAUGAUCGGCUUCAAAAAGAGCUUUGAGAUCGUAGGUGUCGGGGAUACGAAAUUGCUUCUGAAAUUCGACGAGAUUCUUUUCCUUGAUGGUGGAUUUGGCGUUAACAUGAGGGAAUUGCGCUUUGUUGGAGUAUUCCAUAAUCAUUUUCUGGUUUUCCAACUCUACCUUUGAUUGGCCCGACGCUUGGGGGCAGAGCUGAUCGCGGUGGUUAUUGUGGUAGCUUGGGUGGUGGUGGUAAGGACCGAGAAUUUAA
RNAcentral lists this long non-coding RNA (956 nucleotides) under Panax ginseng (ginseng). Its description in RNAcentral is "long non-coding RNA (PGIN_LNC009916)". The record is from RNAcentral. Lineage: Eukaryota; Viridiplantae; Streptophyta; Magnoliopsida; Apiales; Araliaceae.